Nanorana parkeri is the source of this 173-nucleotide long non-coding RNA. RefSeq lists it as uncharacterized. The record is from RefSeq and is a predicted model, not a curated record. NCBI's taxonomy places the organism in Eukaryota, Metazoa, Chordata, Amphibia, Anura, Dicroglossidae. The transcript has 3 exons.
UGAACAUACAUACAGUGUGAUAUAAAUGCGACUGGAUCAGGGGCUAUAAAGAAAAUGAAGUCAUCACUGGGCGGGAAACAUAUGAUGGAAUGGCGACAAGGGAAAUGCCCUCCAGGAGGUUGGCCUUGCUAUGAAGCAACUCUACUGGAUGUUGAUGCUGCAAAUUUUGAAAA